This 106-nucleotide transfer RNA is filed under the name Mesocricetus auratus (golden hamster). It matches the Rfam family "tRNA". Rfam says of the family: Transfer RNA (tRNA) molecules are approximately 80 nucleotides in length. Lineage: Eukaryota; Metazoa; Chordata; Mammalia; Rodentia; Cricetidae. The record is from Rfam by way of RNAcentral.
GUCAGGGUGGCCGAGUGGUCUAAGGCGCCAGACUCAAGCUUAGCUUCCUCGAAGGUGAGGGUUCUGGUCUCCCCUGGAGGCGUGGGUUCGAAUCCCACUCCUGACA